This is a non-coding RNA of Macaca mulatta (Rhesus monkey), 1113 nucleotides long. NCBI's taxonomy places the organism in Eukaryota, Metazoa, Chordata, Mammalia, Primates, Cercopithecidae. The record is from RefSeq and is a predicted model, not a curated record.
UCAAACACCUGCUCCAUGUUCUCCAUGUACUGGGGCGUGCCCUGGUCGAGCUCCUUCAGGGACUUCUCAUACUUAUCUUUGGUCUAAAGGAAAAUCCAGGCACAAGACAAAGGUUCAUUUCCAUUCGGCCCUUGACUCACCCCACCCCUGGAGUGUCUCAGGCCUCCCCAGAUUCCAAUGCAAAGAAAAAACAGGAGCUCUGGCUUCUGACAGACUUCAAGUUCAAGUUCCAGUCCCUCCACUCCUGCAAGGGCCUUCUGAGGAAGGAAGGAAGGAUGAGGAAGGAUGGAGUGCUUCCUGAGCCACUGCAAGCCUAUGGGGCACCCGCUCUGCCCCCAGCUGGGACUGAGUCUACCCUGCCCAUGAGGCUCCCCUCUUCCCCUCCCAGAUGCUCGCCUCUGACUCAUGUGGCUCAGGGCCCUGGGAGACUCCGCUUCAGGCUCCAAAGCAACUCCUCUCUUUGAAGCCUUCCGCAGUCUCCUGAGACCAGGUCCCACCUCGCCCUCUAGGGCUCUGACUCCUGCCCCUUUCUCCUCUCCUGGUAUCCGGGUCCUUGCUCUGCUUCUCAGCCUCCUCAGAUGGCUGGGCUUGGGUCCUCUGUGCCUACAGGAAAAGGCCACCCCUGCCAGGGCUGGGGCAUGCCCAGCAGAAAGAGAGCUCCACAGCGCUGUGGUGAUUCCUAUUCCCCACCGCCAUCGACACUGCCCGUGCCCACUACCUGGCAGCCCUGCAUAGGAGCCUAGCUCAGAAGCCCAAGACACACAGCUGUGGGUUCAGCGCCCGGCAUCUGGAGGAUACUGCUUAAGUGACACAGCAGUCCCAUCUCAGGAGCCUUCAAGACACAGUAGCCUCCCAGAAGCUCUCAGGGUACUAGUGGCAACAAGAUGCUCCACCUCUGGACUGCCCCUGCCCUCAGCCUGUGCCGACCCUGCUGGCCCCAAGUCCUGCCCCCAGCACAGGCCAGGUACUGAGCAGGGUCAUCACUGUUCUGGAAACCCCCUUGCAGGGCACAGAAAGUUCUCAAUGAAUACCCAUGGAGUAAAACAAAAGGCGGCCUUCACCCUUAGGUAGAUUGUAAUAUUUUCGCACUAAAUGCAAAAAGUUCUUUUCUGA